GGGGAAUAUUGGACAAUGGGCGCAAGCCUGAUCCAGCCAUGCCGCGUGAGUGAUGAAGGCCUUAGGGUUGUAAAGCUCUUUCAGUAGGGAAGAUAAUGACGGUACCUACAGAAGAAGCCCCGGCUAACUUCGUGCCAGCAGCCGCGGUAAUACGAAGGGGGCUAGCGUUGUUCGGAUUUACUGGGCGUAAAGCGCACGUAGGCGGUUUGUUAAGUCAGGGGUGAAAUCCCGGAGCUCAACUCCGGAACUGCCCUUGAUACUGGCAAGCUAGAGUCCGGAAGAGGUGAGUGGAACUCCUAGUGUAGAGGUGGAAUUCGUAGAUAUUAGGAAGAACACCAGUGGCGAAGGCGGCUCACUGGUCCGGAACUGACGCUGAGGUGCGAAAGCGUGGGGAGCAAAC
This 400-nucleotide ribosomal RNA is filed under the name uncultured bacterium. RNAcentral's name for it is "bacterial SSU rRNA". It matches the Rfam family "Bacterial small subunit ribosomal RNA", at positions 356 to 773 of the family's 1533-position model. The record is from RNAcentral.